UCCACAGUAGCUCAGUGGUAGAGCUAUCGGCUGUUAACCGAUCGGUCGUAGGUUCGAGUCCUACAUGUGGAGCCA
RNAcentral lists this transfer RNA (75 nucleotides) under Staphylococcus aureus. RNAcentral's name for it is "tRNA-Asn". It matches the Rfam family "tRNA". From Rfam's summary of the family: Transfer RNA (tRNA) molecules are approximately 80 nucleotides in length. Their secondary structure includes four short double-helical elements and three loops (D, anti-codon, and T loops). Further hydrogen bonds mediate the characteristic L-shaped molecular structure. tRNAs have two regions of fundamental functional importance: the anti-codon, which is responsible for specific mRNA codon recognition, and the 3' end, to which the tRNAs corresponding amino acid is attached (by aminoacyl-tRNA synthetases). tRNAs cope with the degeneracy of the genetic code in two manners: having more than one tRNA (with a specific anti-codon) for a particular amino acid; and 'wobble' base-pairing, i.e. permitting non-standard base-pairing at the 3rd anti-codon position. Lineage: Bacteria; Bacillati; Bacillota; Bacilli; Caryophanales; Staphylococcaceae. RNAcentral also lists the same sequence under 2 other names. The record is from RNAcentral.